GUAGGGCGGGACACGUGGUAUCCUGUCUGAAUAUGGGGGGACCAUCCUCCAAGGCUAAAUACUCCUGACUGACCGAUAGUGAACCAGUACCGUGAGGGAAAGGCGAAAAGAACCCCGGCGAGGGGAGUGAAAAAGAACCUGAAACCGUGUACGUACAAGCAGUGGGAGCACGCUUAGGCGUGUGACUGCGUACCUUUUGUAUAAUGGGUCAGCGACUUAUAUUCUGUAGCAAGGUUAACCGAAUAGGGGAGCCGAAGGGAAACCGAGUCUUAACUGGGCGUUAAGUUGCAGGGUAUAGACCCGAAACCCGGUGAUCUAGCCAUGGGCAGGUUGAAGGUUGGGUAACACUAACUGGAGGACCGAACCGACUAAUGUUGAAAAAUUAGCGGAUGACUUGUGGCUGGGGGUGAAAGGCCAAUCAAACCGGGAGAUAGCUGGUUCUCCCCGAAAGCUAUUUAGGUAGCGCCUCGUGAAUUCAUCUCCGGGGGUAGAGCACUGUUUCGGCAAGGGGGUCAUCCCGACUUACCAACCCGAUGCAAACUGCGAAUACCGGAGAAUGUUAUCACGGGAGACACACGGCGGGUGCUAACGUCCGUCGUGAAGAGGGAAACAACCCAGACCGCCAGCUAAGGUCCCAAAGUCAUGGUUAAGUGGGAAACGAUGUGGGAAGGCCCAGACAGCCAGGAUGUUGGCUUAGAAGCAGCCAUCAUUUAAAGAAAGCGUAAUAGCUCACUGGUCGAGUCGGCCUGCGCGGAAGAUGUAACGGGGCUAAACCAUGCAC
Molecule: ribosomal RNA, 781 nt
Filed under: Escherichia coli
Lineage: Bacteria; Pseudomonadati; Pseudomonadota; Gammaproteobacteria; Enterobacterales; Enterobacteriaceae
Description: partial 23S ribosomal RNA
Rfam family: Bacterial large subunit ribosomal RNA
Source: RNAcentral